AACGCACCUUGCGCCCUUUGGCCAUUCCGAAGGGCAUGCCUGUUUGAGUAUCAUGAACACCUCAACUCUUCAUGGUUUUCCAUGAUGAGCUUGGACUCUGGGGGUCUUGCUGGCCUGUGGUCGGCUCCUCUCAAAUGAAUCAGCUUGCCGGUGUUUGGUGGGCAUCACAGGUGUGAUAACUAUCUACGCUUGUGGUUUUCCACCAGGGUAACCUUCAGCAGUGGAGGUUCACUGGAGCUCACAAAUGUCUCUCCUCAGUGGGGACAGCCCUUUAAAUGUUUGAUCUCAAAUCAGGUAGGACUACCCGCUGAACUUAA
RNAcentral lists this unclassified non-coding RNA (317 nucleotides) under uncultured Thelephoraceae. Its description in RNAcentral is "sequence contains ITS2". Lineage: Eukaryota; Fungi; Basidiomycota; Agaricomycetes; Thelephorales; Thelephoraceae. The record is from RNAcentral.